RNAcentral lists this long non-coding RNA (3294 nucleotides) under Mus pahari (shrew mouse). Its description in RNAcentral is "predicted gene, 35394 (MGP_PahariEiJ_G0004544.1)". Lineage: Eukaryota; Metazoa; Chordata; Mammalia; Rodentia; Muridae. The record is from RNAcentral.
UUCUCUGCUUCCUCCGUUUCAGCUUGACAUCUCCUCAAACGCUACCUGACAGCCUGCCGCCAUCACCCGCGAAUCAGGUUUGUCCCACAUACUAGAGCUGACAAACACCAUAUUCACGCCAAGGAAUUUUGAAAGCAAAUAUGUCACAUCGAUGAUGACGAUGACGACAACGACGACGGUCAGAAAAUGAUUAGGAAAGAACACCCUGGCAGCCUUUGUUGCUAGAAUCUGCUCAUGGGCAAAUGGCAAAGCUAUUCACAUGGAAGACAUUAAACCAUUAACACCGUAGUGUUCCUGUUUGAUCUGAGCCUGGGGUCACUGUUUCAGGACUGCAAGUGAGAAAGAGAAAGUCACACACACACACAAUGACACAUUCUCCAGGAUCACACAGGGUCUCCAGUGCACACAACCCAGGAUUCCUCUCCCGCCAGCCCUUACACUGUAUCUGUGAAUCUGGCUGUUCUGAGAUUACCACCAUAUCAAACUUGGGCAUCCUUUCUUACUCUCAGCUCUGAUUCUAGAUCAUCUUGCCUCUUACAGUGCAACUAGAGCAAGCUCCAUAGGCUGCUUUCACCGCGCCUUACAGAAACCCUUCACGGCCACGCCCACCCGCCCACUGACUUCCACUGAGGUCAGCCGCGGUAGGGAAACGAGAUCUGCUUCCUCCUCCACUGGUGUGCACCUUAGCUUUGCAGUCCCCUUCCCCUGCUGUCUUCUUUGGGUGCUCGGUAGAAUGCCGACUCAAGUUGGCCAUAAAUUCACACCCCUUGAUCACAGAGAUGCGUCCACUCAUAGACUGACACCCUGUUUAUCAUAGGGGCUCACUAAAUAUUUGUUAAAUGAGUGAAUGAAAUUAUUUCACCAAGGAUACACCGAAAGACUUAAAUCUCUUUCCAUGUUUUCCAAAAAUAUUCUUCUUUUUUUAAGGAGAAACAUCUAAAAAGGAUUAUGAUUUGUUAUAUUUUAUGUUUUUUUUAUAAAAAACUUACGCAUUUAUUUGCUAUGUUGAGGGUUGAACCCGUGGCCUCUAGCUUGCUAGGCAAAUCCUCUUCCAUCCCCAUGCCAAAAACUUGCUCCAUUUUAAAGUCGCCAUCUCUCAAGUCAGGGUUUUAAAUGUUUAUGAAGCAACUGCAUUUAACUCUGCUAUUCAAAGAUAAUAACAGAAUUUAUAAAAAUUACAUUCUUAGUGUUGGGACACCAACUUAACAUAGGCUGACAACUGACUCUUUGCUCUGGCCAGUUGAUGCCUAGCUGCGAUAGGAGUAUUAAGGCGUCAGAGGCUCCUCCUGCAAGGGACCCAGAGACUGGGGCUCUGCUAUCCGCUGCAAGCUGUAGGACACUAUAUGCUUGUAUUCCCUUCCUUCCUAUCUAGGUACUCACCAUAUGCCCAACCUGGCCUUCAAAGAUUCAACCCAGUCCUCCCCUCCCAUGCUUUCAUGGGGCUCCCUAGGCACAAAAUUUUUCUCAUUGGUGCAACUUCCCAUAACAAUUUAACAUGUUAAGAUAUGAUUUGUCCUAUGCAUGUUUGGUGUACUGGUCUUCAUUGCUUUAUGAGAGCAGGGUCCACCAUCCAUCUCUUUGAGCUCAGUCUGCCUCCUGCUUUGUAGCACUGAAUGCCCACAGAUUCUCACAACGUACUUCUUGAAUAAAUAAACAGCUCUGUCAAUGCAGGUAGACAUAACAGAUGGCUGGCGUGUUGGCAUGAGGCAUGAGGCUGCCUGGCCCCGUUAGCGAAGCGGGCGAGAGGGGCGAGAGGGGCGAGAGGGGCAGUUCGCAUCUGUUGGAGGGUUAGCAGGGGAAGGCUGCAGAUAUGGAGGUAGGCGGGGCUGAGGAAGGCUGCAGAUUCGGAGGUAGGCAAGACUAGGGACUGGGGUGGAAUGGGCACAUUGCUGCGGUUCAGAGCACCUCUGCCUCUUGUUUCUCAUCCGGGCAUGCAGAGGUGGUUUUUUUUUUUUUCCUAUGUCACAGUUCGGUAUUAAGACCAAAUGAGAAAUGAGCUUUAAAGUGGUGGCCCCACUGUUGUAGAUAGCAAUAUUCUUCUACAUACUCGUUUGUGGUUCAUGUUGCUCACAUGAACAUUCGGACGCACAUCUGCCACAGACCCAUGAUGAGUUAUAAACUGGGAAACCUGAGCGACAUACCUUUUCCUGUUCCUCAUAUUUUCAAGGCUGGAGUUCUCAGACUAUGAUGUGGACACAGCGGGGCAAUCAAGAGGACUUGAAUAAGAACACUAAUCUAUUUGAUAAGGGCCCCGCCCCACAGCCUGACCACCUCCCAAGGGCUCCCCAAAGGGUGACAUCUCAUCUCAUGGAAGGAGCGCGACCUUUCAGUCCCUGUGAUUUUUCUGGCUGUUGCCCCAUGACUUGUUAGACUCUUUUCAUCAGUACCGAGCUUACCAGUGUGACUUUACCAAGUGACACGCCGUGACGAGGCAGAGGCUUCCAACGAGUGCACGGAUUGUUCUUCUAUAAAAAAAAAUGGACUAUCUCCAACAGCAAAUGGAAGUACUCGGUCCAUGCUUGGAUCGUGACAAGGGCUCAGUGGAAACCAUCAGGGCAAGCAUGCUACGACUUCGGCUCUAACUUCCUCAUUUGCACUGGCUUGUCUUAACAGGAAAAGCCACAUCCUUGGACUCGCUGAGGUGGUCUGUCAGAUGCGAUAGCCCGGCUAGGAGCGAGAAACACAACUGAAAUCUGCCCCAGAUUUUAAUCAUGGUCAUGGGCCCUUUUCUCGGACUAUUUCACUACAGAUAAUUAAUGAAAUUUCUUCCAGUUUAAAGAAUUUUCCGUAUCUAUAGUCAAGGAACUUCUGGAAUCUUUCUUAUAAGUGAGUACCAGUAACAUCACUUGUUAACGGGGCCAUCAGGAGCCUCAACUUCUUGGCUCAUUGCUGUCUUCAUGGGGCUAAGGUUAGUCCUCAGCCUUGGCCAGCCUUCUAGGUAAUGUUGUGUUUAUAGGAUCUUGAAAGAUAACUCUUUAAAAUUAUUUUGUUUUAUUUCCUGUAACUUAAGGUCACAGCGCUCUUGGCCAGAGGGAAAAAGUCAUUUCCUAGGAAAAGGGAAACCACACUUCCUGGGGAUGUGAAAGCCCCUUUGGCUGCCAGCUACUCCUCUGACUGUAAGGGCGGAAAAUAAAAAGCAGGUGCAAUGUGAAAAGAGUGACCCAGGCUCCCAGUAGGCAGAACUCAGGCUGAGAAGCAAAGCCCAGGCUGGCUUCCAGCCAGGUGACCCUGUCACUCAUUCCUCUAGGUUUGGAUUUCCCCAUAUGUGACAAUAAAGGAUCUGCAAACUCCUGU